UGCCGGCUCACUGUGCUGCAUACAAUUACACACUGCAUCGUACGAUUGAGACAAGGAAACUUGGAAUGACUUUUCAUAGGUUUCCCAGAGACUAUGGGUUGAGGAGGAAUUGGAAGUUUGUCGGCUUAGACCUGGUGUCAUUCCAUCAGUGUUAAACUUCCCGGCUCAUCUUGGAAGAGUACGUGCCAGAAAGACCACGACCAAGCAGCCUUGAGAUCUUAGGCAGCAUCUCCCUGAGGUCCCUCUCUAUCUCCCUACACAUCCACCAACCACUGGAACACAUCUCCAAAGUUCUGCCGGGCCAGCUCAGCUUCCCCUCAGAAGAAGUGCUGCCACCUGCCAGAUGAAGGAGCCUUUUGAGAGGCAGCUGGCAUCGUGAUUGGACUGUACUUUGGUUUGUUCCAAUCCAGCUUCAGCUCCAGAGACGGCAGGCGGGACGAGUCAACGGAGGCCUGGUGGACGAAGGCAUGCAGCUGAGUACAAUCCGGAAAACAACAGAGGAGGAGUGCAGCAGCCCAGAGCCAGAACACACAGAGUAGCAUCGUAUGUCUCUUAGAAAACA
This is a long non-coding RNA of Amphiprion ocellaris (clown anemonefish), 562 nucleotides long. NCBI's taxonomy places the organism in Eukaryota, Metazoa, Chordata, Actinopteri, Pomacentridae. The record is from Ensembl.